GGUGGAGUGGCUCAAGUGGUAGAGCACUUGCCUAACAAGCGUGAGGUCCUGAGUUCAAACCCCAGUGCCACCA
Castor canadensis (American beaver) is the source of this 73-nucleotide non-coding RNA. NCBI's taxonomy places the organism in Eukaryota, Metazoa, Chordata, Mammalia, Rodentia, Castoridae. The record is from the annotation of a RefSeq genome assembly.